UACGGAGGGUGCAAGCGUUAAUCGGAAUUACUGGGCGUAAAGCGUGCGUAGGCGGUUUGUUAAGUCCGAUGUGAAAGCCCUGGGCUCAACCUGGGAAUGGCAUUGGAUACUGGCAGGCUAGAGUGCGGUAGAGGGGUGCGGAAUUCCCGGUGUAGCGGUGAAAUGCGUAGAGAUCGGGAGGAACAUCCGUGGCGAAGGCGGCACCCUGGACCAGCACUGACGCUGAGGCACGAAAGCGUGGGGAGCAAACAGG
This 253-nucleotide unclassified non-coding RNA is filed under the name uncultured Rhodanobacteraceae bacterium. RNAcentral's name for it is "contains 16S-23S intergenic spacer region". It matches the Rfam family "Bacterial small subunit ribosomal RNA", at positions 524 to 776 of the family's 1533-position model. The record is from RNAcentral. Lineage: Bacteria; Pseudomonadati; Pseudomonadota; Gammaproteobacteria; Lysobacterales; Rhodanobacteraceae.